Molecule: non-coding RNA, 296 nt
Filed under: Caldisalinibacter kiritimatiensis
Lineage: Bacteria; Bacillati; Bacillota; Tissierellia; Tissierellales; Thermohalobacteraceae
Description: Bacterial large subunit ribosomal RNA
Rfam family: Bacterial large subunit ribosomal RNA
Source: Rfam by way of RNAcentral
UCUAGGGUUGUGCUCCAGAGUACCACGGGACACGGGAAAUCCUGUGGGAAGCUGGGAGGACCACCUCCUAAGGCUAAAUACUACCUGGUGACCGAUAGUGAAGCAGUACCGUGAGGGAAAGGUGAAAAGAACCCCGGGAGGGGAGUGAAAUAGAACCUGAAACCCUAUGUCUACAAGCAGUGGAAGCACUUUUCAUGUGCAACCGCGUACUUUUUGUAGAACGGGCCAGCGAGUUACGUUAUGCAGCGAGGUUAAGGACUUUAGGUCUGGAGCCGCAGGGAAACCGAGUCUUAAAC